RNAcentral lists this ribosomal RNA (429 nucleotides) under uncultured archaeon. RNAcentral describes it as "bacterial SSU rRNA". It matches the Rfam family "Archaeal small subunit ribosomal RNA", at positions 474 to 903 of the family's 1478-position model. The record is from RNAcentral.
UACCAGCUCUCCGAGUGGUAGGGAUGUUUAUUGGGCUCAAAGCGUCCGUAGCCGGCUUAGCAAGUCUCCUGUUAAAUUCAGCGACCUAAUCGUUGAGCCGCGGGAGAUACUACUAGGCUAGGAGGCGGGAGAGGUCAACGGUACUUCCGGGGUAGGGGUGAAAUCCUAUAAUCCCGGGAGGACCACCAGUGGCGAAGGCUGUUGACUAGAACGCGCUCGACGGUGAGGGACGAAAGCUGGGGGAGCGAACCGGAUUAGAUACCCGGGUAGUCCCAGCUGUAAACGAUGCGAGCUAGGUGUUGGGGUGGCUACGUGCCACUUCAGUGCCGCAGGGAAGCCAUUAAGCUCGCCGCCUGGGGAGUACGGCCGCAAGGCUGAAACUUAAAGGAAUUGGCGGGGGAGCACCACAAGGCGUGAAGCUUGCGGUUC